ACAUGGGGUGCAAACGUUGUUCGGAAUUACUGGGCGUAAAGCGCACGUAGGCGGCUUUGUAAGUUAGAGGUGAAAGCCCGGGGCUCAACUCCGGAAUUGCCUUUAAGACUGCAUCGCUUGAAUCCGGGAGAGGUGAGUGGAAUUCCGAGUGUAGAGGUGAAAUUCGUAGAUAUUCGGAAGAACACCAGUGGCGAAGGCGGCUCACUGGACCGGUAUUGACGCUGAGGUGCGAAAGCGUGGGGAGCAAACAGGA
Molecule: ribosomal RNA, 253 nt
Filed under: uncultured prokaryote
Description: partial 16S ribosomal RNA
Rfam family: Bacterial small subunit ribosomal RNA
Source: RNAcentral